AAACUAGGGCCCCGUUGGGGCACUGGCGGGCCCGAGCCGCGUCGCGCCGCCCCCAGCGCGACCGCCUCCCCGUCCCAUUCGUGCCCUCUGGCCAUCGCCCUCUCUGGUGACGCCCAUCACUGCAAAGACCCUUUUCCUUCAUCGGUGUUUGCUGUUCUUCCUGCCAUUGCGUGUUGCUUUCACUUACACUUGCCACAGCCAGCCUCGUGAGUGCCUGGCCUGGUUUGACCUUUGCUCACCAUGAUUGUGUGACCUUGGUAUCAGCUACUUGGGAAGUUCAACCGUUGUGGCAAAGCUUUGUUUGCGUGCUGUGCUCAACCACCUAUUUUCUAUGGAUGUGUAAGUAAACCACUUUCUUUCUUACACAAUGACACACUCAUACUUAUCACUCACUGCUACUGAUGUGCUCUGUUAGUAUGCAUGCAGGAAACCUGAUGAAUGAAGAAAUGCCCAGACUAGCCAACAUCUCAAUAAAUUAUGAGGUAUGACAUCACUUGAAUGGUUUCCUUGGACUAUGCUUCCAUUAUUCUAAUUCUGUAAUAAAAAGAAAUUUUGUCCAAAAGGACUGUUGUUGUUUUUUCUUCUAAUAAUUAACAUAUUUAACAUAAUUAACAUUCAAUAUGCGCUCAUUACACACGUGCACACUCUUUGAUGAUCUGAGAAGCAGAGCUUAAAGGACAGUAGGAGUAGCUGAACAAAGUGUAUUUGUAGGAAAGCCGUAAGAGCUAUUGAAACGCCGUUUUCGCGGGUUGAAAGGUUAGGGUGUCCACCAAAGGUCAGAGGUCAAAUAACAUUUGUAUCUCAAACUGUGACGUCAAAGUCAAGGUCCAAAGAUGGUGUGCGCACCUGUCUUUGGUCAUUUCCCAUUAUAAUGAAUGGGAGGCACAGUUUCUACCAAAACGCUCGCUGCAGACAAACUACAUGUCCUAUUUGAAAAAACUCUGGACCAUGAGUGAGGGCACAAACACAGCUAGGACAUAUCCACAUGGCAAGUUGCUCCUCCUUUUGGUUUUAGCGGGAGAGCAAUGCGUUUGAGCCAUUAAGCGAUGGGCUGGAAAAACUUGACUUUUUCUCCUGCCAUGGGGGGGGGGGGGGGCGCUCUUUUGGGGAGAAAAAAUUCCUUCACAGAUGUGUUGAUGGCUGCACAUUGCAUCAACCUAGAAAAAUUGGAGGCCAGUGAGGACAAAAAUAAAAAGUUAUAAGACUUUUAAAAAUGUGGAUAUUUGGGUCAUCUUUGGCGCCCCCUAGAACCUAAACCGUGGGGUGCAGCGUCAUGAUUUGUACAACUUUGAAUGGCCAUGGGGUGUAGAUUGGCCUGAGCAAAUUUGGUGUCAGUAGAACGAAAGCCUUAGGAGGAGUUAGCCACAUUCCAAUGUGUGCGAAUCGGCAAAAAAUGCAAGAUAGCCCUUUAACCGUACAUUUUACAGAUAUGUGCCCAUUGACUUUUUCGUAGAUCUUAUUGAGAUACACGUGUGUGUCAAAUUUUGUGUCAAUAUGACAAAGCGUAUAGGCGUGACACUGAACAAUGUGUAUUUUCACCUUAGGGGACAAGAAAAAAUGGCCUUUUUUGUCCUGCCAUGGGGGGGCGCUGUUUUGGGGAGUAAAAAUUCCUUCACAAAUGUGUUGAUGGCUGGACAUUGCAUCAUCCUAGAAAACUUGGAGGCCAAUGAGGACAAAAAUAAAAAGUUAUAAGAUUUUUAAGAAUGUGGAUUUGUGGGUUAUCUUUGGCGCCCCCUAGAACGUAAACCGUGGGGUGCAGCGUCAUGAUUUGUACAACUUUCAAUGGCCAUGGGGUGUAGAUUGGCCUGAGCAAAUGUAGUGCUGGUGGAACGAAAGCCUUCGGAGGAGUUAGCGAAAUUCCAAUGUGUGCGGAACGGCAAAAAAUGCGAAAUAACCCUUUAACCGUACAUUUGACAGAUACGCCCGCACUGACUUUUUUGUAGAUCUUAUUGAGAUACAUGUGUGUGUCAAUUUUUGUGUCAAUAUGACAAAGCGUACAGACGUGACAGUCAAUAGUGUGAAUUUUCACCUUUGGGGGCGCUAUUGAGCCAUUUUGCAUUUUCUUGUUUGGGCGGCUUCAGAAUAUCGAAUUUUUCACCAGGCCCGGUCGUCCUGCCAAAUUUCAUGAGUUUUCGCCAGUGGGAAGUGGGCCAUUUUCCAGUUUAAAGCGGAGGAAAAAUAAUAACUAGGGCCCCGUUGGGGCACUGGCGGGCCCGAGCCGUGUCGCACCCCCCCCCCCCCCCCCAACGCGCUGCCUCCCCGUCCCAUUCGUGUCCUCUGGCCAUCGCCCUCUCUGGUAACGCCCAUCACUGCAAAGACCCUUUUCCUUCAUCGGCGUUUGCUGUUCUUCCUGCCAGUGUGUGUUGCUUUCACUUACACUUGCCACAGCCAGCCUCGUGAGUGCCUAGCCUAUUGGAUAUCACUGUCACCUACACAGGACAGUCAUACUUUGUUUUUUAAUUUCACAUUAAUUUCCAUAUUGUAUAAACGACUGGAAAAAACUUGAGCCCCUGCCCCUGUAUUAUCAUGUGCACGUCCCUGUUCUAGCUCCAAGGUGAAUCUUCACUGCUCAUGUUCUCCUCAGAAGCAGUCACCUCACUCCCCUCAGGUUACUGUACACAUGCACCAACUGCCUGCUUCAGGUUUGGAUGGAGCUUCAUGGUUGUCUUUUGGAGAAAUGAGCAGUCAAGUUGUGUUUGAAAUUUGAUUUUUUUCAGGGGCAAAAGGAAGCCUCUGCAUUCUUGUCAAAUAUGUAAAUAGCAUGUUUUUGCAGGUGCUAAAAAACAGACUCUGAGUGUGUGUGUGUGUGUGUGUGUGUGUGUGUGUGUGUGUGUGUGUGUGCGUGUGUGUCUGUGUGUGUGUGUGUGUGUAUCCUGCAGUACUCUGAGAAGAAUAAUAAGCAUAUUUCUGAGGUGAAUUUUGAAGAUUCAUCUGAGAGUUAGGUUUGAUUCGAUUCGAUUGACGCUCCCCAGCGUUCAAGUCACAUGACAUAUUUAACCGGAUGUAGCUGCAAGACGGAGCCUCGUUAACUCUCCGUUUCAACUUAUCUCAAAAGUGAGGACCUCAACCUAUAUACCAGUUUUUAAAUUGUGUUGAUAGGCCAAAUAAAACCAGAGUUAUGAUAAAUUAUGUCCGCGAUACUUUUUUUCUGCUUAUUUUGAUCACGUUCGGUGCUCGAUUGCGCUGUAUGAGACAGGAAAACAUAGCAUGCAGACAUUAGCGACAGGUCUUACAGGCGGAAAAGGCUUGCCAAAAGAAAAAAAAAAACACCACAACAUCUCUCCUAUUGGUGGAAAACUUCACCACAACAACCAAUCCAAAAUUAUAUGGUGACUGAUUGACAAGGGGCGGGCGCUUACGUUCUUCCUGCAAUAUGAGAAGGGAGGGAGGGACUCUCAGCAGGGAUGCAGUCUGGGACACGUAGUUGCAAACCUAGCGACUGUGUUGUUAGAUUCAAUUACUUUUCAGACCCCCUAACGACUUUUUUUUAGAAAGAAAGGGACUUUUAUCGACUUCUUCUGGAGUUUAGAGACUCUGACAUGAAGCAGGCUUUCCUUACUGAGGAGUUAGCAACGCUGCUAAGGGUGCAGAGCCACACAUGCGCUCCGAGCUCUGCAUGGGAGACUGAAGCUGACAGAGCUGCAGCAGUUAGCAGGUUUCACCCUCAGAGACCACCAGGGGUUCAUGUUGAGGCAUUUUCAGUUUUUGUUUUUUUUGCCAUAGACUGUCAGCACAAUCUGCAGUUACACUAACAAAAAUGCUGCAAAAAACAAAGAAUUAUGGAAAAAUUACACAUGGACUGACAUAGAGGAGGAUCUACACAAGUUUUUUACAUCAUGUUUUACAUCAUGCAUCAUUUACAUCAUGUUUUUUUGUAGUGGCAUAAAUAAAAAGUGACAUUUGUGAGACUAUACAGUGUUUUGUAAAUAAUUUUACAAAGAACGCCUGGGCCAUUGCCUGCAUUUUGAUGUAAAUAGAGGUAAAUUACUAUGUUCUUUGUUAAAAAUUUGCAUAUGUUUUGAAGUUUACAAUUUUUAUUUGAAGUUUAAGUUUUAAAAACAGUUCAUCACACAUAUUUGUGUUUUAAUUUCACAUUAAUUUCCAUAUUGUAUAAAUGACUGGAAAAAUCUUGAGCCCCUGCCCCUGUAUUAUCAUGUGCACGUCCCUGUUCUAGCUCCAAGGUGAAUCUUCACUGCUCAUGUUCUCCUCAGAAAUAGUCACCUCACUCCCCUCAGGUUACUGUACACAUGCACCAACUAUCUGCUUCAGGUUUGGAUGGAGCUUCAUGGUUGUCUUUUGGAGAAAUGAACAGUCAAGUUGUGUUUGAAAUCUGAUUUUUUUCAGGGGCAAAAGGAAGCCUCUGCAUUCUUGUCAAAUAUGUAAACAGCAUGUUUUUGCAGGUGCUAAAAAACAGACUCUGAGUGUGUGUGUGUGUGUGUGUGUGUGUGUGUGUGUGUGUGUGUGUGUGUGUGUGUGUGUGUGUGUAUCCUGCAGUACUCUGUACUCCUGCAGUGGCCAAAAAGACUUUUAAGAAUGUGGAUUUUUGGGUCAUCUUUGGCGCCCCCUAGAACUGCAGUACUCUGUACUCCUGCAGUGGCCAAAAUGACUUUUAAGAAUGUGGAUUUUUGGGUCAUCUUUGGCGCCCCCUAGAACGUAAACCGUGGGGUGCAGCGUCAUGAUUUUUACAACUUUGAAUGGCCAUAGGAUGUAGAUCGGCUUGAGCAAAUUUGGUGUUGGUGGGACGAAAGCCUUAGGAGGAGUUAGCGAAAUUCCAAUGUGUGCGGAUCGGGAAAAAAUGCGAAAUAGCCCUUUAACCAUACAUUAUACAGAUACGCGCUCUUUGACUUUUUCGUAGAUCUUAUUGAGAUACACGUGAUUGUCAAAUUUUGUGUCAAUAUGACAAAGCGUUCAGGCGUGACACUCUACAAUGUGUAUUUUCAUGUUAGGGGACAAGAAAAAAUGGACUUUUUUCACCUGCCAUGGGGGGGCGCUCUUUUGGGGAGUAAAAAUUCCUUCACAAAUGUGUUGAUGGCUGGACAUUGCAUCAUCCUAGAAAACUUGGAGGCCAGUGAGGACAAAAAUAAAAAGUUAUAAGACUUUUAAGAAUGUGGAUUUUUGGGUUAUCUUUGGCGCCCCCUAGAACGUAAACCGUGGGGUGCAGCGUCAUGAUUUGUACAACUUUUAAUGGCCAUGGGGUGUAGAUUGGCCUGAGCAAAUUUGGUGCCGGUGGAACGAAAGCCUUCGGAGGAGUUAGCGAAAUUCCAAUGUGUGCGGAUCGGCAAAAAAUGCAAAAUAGCCCUUUAACGGUACAUUUGACAGAUACGCCCGCACUGACUUUUUUGUAGGUCUUAUUGAGAUACACAUGUGUGUCAAAUUUUGUGUCAAUUUGACAAAGCGUACAGGCGUCAGGUGAAUUUUCACCAUAGGGGGCGCUAUGG
Xyrichtys novacula (pearly razorfish) is the source of this 5438-nucleotide non-coding RNA. The record is from the annotation of a GenBank genome assembly. Lineage: Eukaryota; Metazoa; Chordata; Actinopteri; Labriformes; Labridae.